CAUGCAAGUCAAGGAGAACAUUUUCUUCGGAAAAUUAUUAAACUGGCGAACGGGUGAGUAACACGUAGGUAACCUGCCUUGAAGAUUGGGAUAACUCCGGGAAACCGGAGCUAAUACCGAAUAAUGCAGCGAAUCCAUAGGGAUAUGUUGUUAAAGCGGGCUUCGGCUCGCACUUCGAGAUGGGCCUGCGGCCGAUUAGCUUGUUGGUGAGGUAAUGGCUCACCAAGGCGAUGAUCGGUAGCUGGUCUGAGAGGAUGAUCAGCCACACUGGGAUUGAGAUACGGCCCAGACUCCUACGGGAGGCAGCAGUGGGGAAUUUUGCGCAAUGGACGAAAGUCUGACGCAGCAACGCCGCGUGGUUGAUGAAGCUUUUAGGAGUGUAAAGAUCUGUCGUGAGGGAAGAAAAACCUGGAUGUAAAUAAUGUUCAGGCGUGACGGUACCUCACAAGAAAGCACCGGCUAACUUCGUGCCAGCAGCCGCGGUAAUACGAGGGGUGCUAGCGUUGUCCGGAAUUACUGGGCGUAAAGGGUCCGUAGGCGUCUUGACAAGUUGAUCGUUAAAUCCACCGGCUUAACCGGUGAUCUGCGGUCAAAACUUGCAGGAUAGAAUAUGUGAGAGGAAAGUAGAAUUCCUGGUGUAGCGGUGACAUGCGUAGAUAUCAGGAGGAACACCAAUGGCGAAGGCAGCUUUCUGGCACAAUAUUGACGCUGAGGGACGAAAGCGUGGGGAGCGAACAGGAUUAGAUACCCUGGUAGUCCACGCCGUAAACGAUGAGUACUUGGUGGUGGGAGAUUCGACCCUCUCACUAUCGGAGCUAACGCGUUAAGUACUCCGCCUGGGGACUACGGCCGCAAGGCUGAACUCAAGGAAUUGACGGGGACCCGCACAGCGGUGGAACAUGUGUUUAUUCAUGCACGCGAGACUUACUGACUGACAUGUAGUGAAUCCAUGAAAUGGGACUCUGCGAGCUGCUCAAGACCUAUCACAGGUGGUGCAUGCUGUCGUCAGCUCGUGUCGUGAGAUGUGGGUUAGUCCCGCCACGAGCGCACCCCUGUCUAGCUGGCGGCACUAAGGUGGGACUCUAAAAGACUGCUGGUAAACAGAGAAGAGGGGAGAAGGUCAGUCGAAGUUCCUUUAUGUCAGGGGCUAACACGGUUCAUGGGCCGCCCCAAUGGGGUGACCUGCAGGGGUAGGCAAUUCCAAACACGCCGCUUGCAAAUAUGAAC
Molecule: ribosomal RNA, 1227 nt
Filed under: uncultured bacterium
Lineage: Bacteria
Description: partial 16S ribosomal RNA
Rfam family: Bacterial small subunit ribosomal RNA
Source: RNAcentral